RNAcentral lists this transfer RNA (67 nucleotides) under Actinacidiphila epipremni. RNAcentral's name for it is "Streptomyces sp. PRB2-1 tRNA-Val". It matches the Rfam family "tRNA", at positions 9 to 71 of the family's 71-position model. From Rfam's summary of the family: Transfer RNA (tRNA) molecules are approximately 80 nucleotides in length. The record is from RNAcentral. Lineage: Bacteria; Bacillati; Actinomycetota; Actinomycetes; Kitasatosporales; Streptomycetaceae.
AGGUCAGAGGAGAAAGAGCGCCGCCCUUACAAGGCGGAUGUCGGCGGUUCGAAACCGUCCACGCCCA